This 676-nucleotide long non-coding RNA is filed under the name Rattus norvegicus (Norway rat). RNAcentral's name for it is "long non-coding RNA NONRATT027724". The record is from RNAcentral. Lineage: Eukaryota; Metazoa; Chordata; Mammalia; Rodentia; Muridae.
GUGAGGUCAACCUUCCUACCAGUCCCACUGCUCUCGGCCAAGUGGGACCCACUGCUCACCCACGGCCGAACCCAUCUCUCUUCAGACAUCCGUUCUCAUGGCAAUACGCUGCUCAGUGCUGCAGCCGCAGCCUUGUGUGCUGGGGAGCCAGGUCCCAAGGGCCUCCUCAUUAUCAACACACUGCCCUGGAAGCGCACAGAAGUGUUGGCACUACCCAAGCCUUGUGGGGCUCACAGCCUAGGUAUGAGCUGAAGGGGAAAGCUGGUCCUGCAGCAGGAGAAACUAAGGCUAGACAGCAUGGCAAGGAUACUCCCCAGGGGUUUCUAUCUUAGGGUACCCCAAUCUGGAAGAAAUCUAUAUGCAAUCCCAUCCAACUUAUCCUUAACCUGAGCAAGGUUUCUAGAACGUCAGAGAGGCUACACUGAUGCUCAGGCCUUGUCCCCAGCCCUGGUGACAGUGCCCAGUAUUGGCUAUGCUCCUGCUCCCACCCCUACUUCACUGCAGCCCCUCCUACCCCAGCAGCCCGUGUUUGUGAUGCAGGAGGUAAGUCCUAGCAGCGCCCAAUGGGGGUGAGGCCUAGUCUGGGAUUCUCCUAGGUCUGAAGCAAGGGGCUGGGGCACUGCACAGCUUUGGGAGGGUUGGGCUAGGGGUAGGGAACACUACUCACUCAGCUCAA